Gossypium arboreum is the source of this 131-nucleotide microRNA precursor. It matches the Rfam family "MIR7502 microRNA precursor family". The record is from Rfam. Lineage: Eukaryota; Viridiplantae; Streptophyta; Magnoliopsida; Malvales; Malvaceae.
UAUUAAAAAUUUCAUCUAUUUGUAUUGUUAAAAUCUUACAUAAUUGACGGAAUAACUAGACAGUGACAUGUGACAUGCUAUGUGUAACUCAUGCUAACGGUUAACGGCAUAAAUGGAUGAAAGUUUUAACA